RNAcentral lists this transfer RNA (57 nucleotides) under Loxodonta africana (African savanna elephant). It matches the Rfam family "tRNA", at positions 8 to 63 of the family's 71-position model. Rfam says of the family: Transfer RNA (tRNA) molecules are approximately 80 nucleotides in length. Their secondary structure includes four short double-helical elements and three loops (D, anti-codon, and T loops). Lineage: Eukaryota; Metazoa; Chordata; Mammalia; Proboscidea; Elephantidae. The record is from Rfam by way of RNAcentral.
UGGCCCAGUGGUUAAGUGUUUGGCUGCUAAUCAAAAGAUUGGUGGUUCAAAUCCACU